Molecule: ribosomal RNA, 253 nt
Filed under: uncultured bacterium
Lineage: Bacteria
Description: partial 16S ribosomal RNA
Rfam family: Bacterial small subunit ribosomal RNA
Source: RNAcentral
UACGUAGGGGGCAAGCGUUGUCCGGAAUUAUUGGGCGUAAAGAGCGCGUAGGCGGUCCGAUAAGUCGGCUGGGAAAGUCAGGGGCUCAACCCUUGAAAGCCGGCCGAUACUGUCGGACUAGAGUCCGGAAGAGGCAAGUGGAAUUCCCGGUGUAGCGGUGAAAUGCGCAGAUAUCGGGAGGAACACCAAUGGCGAAGGCAGCUCGCUGGGACGGUACUGACGCUGAGGCGCGAAAGCGUGGGGAGCGAACAGG